AACAAGGGAUAGCGACACUGAUCUAUAAUAUAGAACAUAUAUAGAUCAGUGGAUAGCGAGCGAGUAGAUUAGAGCAGAAUGGCCGGGUUGGAAGAAUUUGCACACAUAGUAAGACAGCUUUUUGAGAGUGAAAAAAAAACUCAUGCCGAGAGUUCCGCACUGCAGUCACGCUAUCUGCGCUUCAAGUUCAUCGCGCGUCUACUCGGCGUUGCGUAAUAGAUUAAGGUGCGAGCGUGUUAAAGACGCUACCGUCUUCUUCUUUAGUAAAUCCUCCUUCGGUUAUCAUAUUUUAUUCAUAUUCGUAUUCAUAUUCACGGCCUUCUAUUUAAGUUUUCACCAUUUAUUUUACUAUAAUUAUGUGUUUUUAUUUAUUUAUGUAUUUUUGGAUUCAAAGCUGUAUACUUUUUUUUUUAUGUGGAAUGCUGCUAAAUUAAUGCAUAAUUUGGAUUAUGUUUUGUACAGCUGUCUUUCUACUUACAGUUGACAUUAUUCUAAAUCAGUUGGAUCCAUGGAUUUUUAAGAAUGACGGAAUUCAUUCACGUUUUAAGUGUUAUAAGUGCAUGUUAUCAUUCAAUAUGUACCUGCUAUUGUAUGGUGUAUCGUGCUUAUUUGGACAAAAUCAACAUAAAGUGAGGGGGAAAAAAUAUUAAAAAUGACAAAACCAAACUGUUUUCAUGUCAUUCCACUGUUUCAUUAUUAUUUCAUAAUAAUGUUUGUUUUUGUAGAUGUUGAAAGCAAGAGACAUAGGAGAGCAUCAUUCUUUUGAGAUUUAUAACUCAAGCUAACUUUGGAGUUAAGGACACAGAAGUCUCCUUGUAUGAGGAGGAGGGGUUUUUCUCAGCUUCUUCAGAAGAGAGGGGAAAGACAGUUUAAGAUGUUGAAAGCCAGAGACAUAGAACUCAAACCAACUUUGGAGUUGUCUGAUUUGGCGAGUCAUCAUUCUUGGUCUUCCGUCUUAAAGGAUAGGUUCACACAAAAAAAUCAUUUACUUGCCCUCAUGUCAUUCCAAACCUAUACGACUUUUGUAUAUCUUUAGAAUACAAAUGAAUAUAUUUUGAAUUUUCUCAAAUUUUUGUUAAUCCAUUGAGAGUCUAUAUAAUCAGUAUUUUCAAGCCUCAUAAAUACAGAGUUAUUGUAGAAGUAAUCCAUUCCGAUAUUUAUAUAUGAAUAAAUCUUAAAUUAUAUGAUAGCAAACACGUAUGUUCAAAAUAAAACAUUUUUUGGUGGACUAACCCUUAGCGGCCCUCCACGUACAUGAACAUUUGUGAGGCCACUGAUGAAGAACAGGCGGUGACUGGGAUGAAUGCUGGUCAAAGAGGAGAAUGUCCUUUCCCCUAAACUGAUGCAACAGUGAUUUUAAAGGAGGACACUGCCCUGGAUGAUGUAGAAGAUGUCACAUGCUGUGCUGAUGGGGCUUCUUCAUGACUACAUCAAUUAUGCUAAAGAGAUCAUGAAAGUUGACAGUGAUGCAUGAUCUGUAUGCAUGGACUAUGAAACAAACUGUAAGUGUAUACUUUGUAAAAACAAUGUUAAAUGCUUGUUCUGUGUUGUUUAGUUAAAGAGUUUACACUCUGUCAUUCAUACACAUGCUCACAUUCUUUCACACACACACAUCUGUUAAAUGUUAUAAUAUCAGUGUUAAUGUUGUGGUUUAUUUGUGUACUGUCAUGCUAGAAUAGUUGGUAAAGAACUUAACUAAUUGUACAUUUAUUGUAUAAUAGUGUGUUCAUAUAUUUUUAUACAACAUAUAAAAUUUAACAAAGUCUAAUUUGAUCUUAAAAGUUAUAUACA
Molecule: long non-coding RNA, 1791 nt
Organism: Cyprinus carpio carpio
Lineage: Eukaryota; Metazoa; Chordata; Actinopteri; Cypriniformes; Cyprinidae
Source: Ensembl